Molecule: ribosomal RNA, 440 nt
Filed under: uncultured bacterium
Lineage: Bacteria
Description: partial 16S ribosomal RNA
Rfam family: Bacterial small subunit ribosomal RNA
Source: RNAcentral
CCUACGGGUGGCAGCAGUGGGGAAUAUUGCACAAUGGGGGAAACCCUGAUGCAGCGACGCCGCGUGAGUGAAGAAGUAUUUCGGUACGUAAAGCUCUAUCAGCAGGGAAGAAAAUGACGGUACCUGACUAAGAAGCCCCGGCUAACUACGUGCCAGCAGCCGCGGUAAUACGUAGGGGGCAAGCGUUAUCCGGAUUUACUGGGUGUAAAGGGAGCGUAGACGGCAGCGCAAGUCUGGAGUGAAAUCCCAUGGCUUAACCAUGGAACUGCUUUGGAAACUGUGCAGCUAGAGUGCAGGAGAGGUAAGCGGAAUUCCUAGGGUAGCGGUGAAAUGCGUAGAUAUUAGGAGGAACACUAGUGGCGAAGGCGGCUUACUGGACUGUAACUGACGUUGAGGCUCGAAAGCGUGGGGAGCAAACAGGAUUAGAUACCCCUGUAGUC